RNAcentral lists this ribosomal RNA (464 nucleotides) under uncultured bacterium. RNAcentral's name for it is "bacterial SSU rRNA". It matches the Rfam family "Bacterial small subunit ribosomal RNA", at positions 339 to 796 of the family's 1533-position model. The record is from RNAcentral.
CUACGGGAGGCAGCAGUGGGGAAUCUUGCGCAAUGGGCGAAAGCCUGACGCAGCGACGCCGCGUGAGUGAUGAAGGCCUUCGGGUUGUAAAGCUCUGUGGGGCGAGACGAAUAAGUGCAGCCUAAUACGUUGCAUGAUGACGGUAUCGCCUUAGCAAGCACCGGCUAACUCUGUGCCAGCAGCCGCGGUAAGACAGAGGGUGCAAACGUUGUUCGGAAUUACUGGGCGUAAAGCGAGUGUAGGCGGUCUGAAAAGUCGGGUGUGAAAGCCCCGGGCUCAACCCGGGAAGUGCACUCGAAACUGCUAGGCUAGAGUAUCGGAGAGGUUGGUGGAAUUCUCGGUGUAGAGGUGAAAUUCGUAGAUAUCGAGAGGAACACCGGUGGCGAAGGCGGCCAACUGGACGAAUACUGACGCUGAGACUCGAAAGCGUGGGGAGCAAACAGGAUUAGAUACCCUAGUAGUCC